AUUGAACGCUGGCGGCAUGCCUUACACAUGCAAGUCGAACGGCAGCACGGGAGCAAUCCUGGUGGCGAGUGGCGAACGGGUGAGUAAUAUAUCGGAACGUGCCCAGUCGUGGGGAUAACGUAGCGAAAGCUACGCUAAUACCGCAUACGAUCUAUGGAUGAAAGCGGGGGAUCGCAAGACCUCGCGCGAUUGGAGCGGCCGAUAUCAGAUUAGGUAGUUGGUGAGGUAAAGGCUCACCAAGCCGACGAUCUGUAGCUGGUCUGAGAGGACGACCAGCCACACUGGGACUGAGACACGGCCCAGACUCCUACGGGAGGCAGCAGUGGGGAAUUUUGGACAAUGGGCGCAAGCCUGAUCCAGCAAUGCCGCGUGCAGGAUGAAGGCCUUCGGUUGUAACUAGCUUUGUUACGGAACGAAACGGU
Molecule: ribosomal RNA, 422 nt
Filed under: uncultured bacterium
Lineage: Bacteria
Description: bacterial SSU rRNA
Rfam family: Bacterial small subunit ribosomal RNA
Source: RNAcentral